GACGAACGCUGGCGGCGUGCUUAACACAUGCAAGUCGAACGGCAAGGCCCUGCUUUUGUGGGGUGCUCGAGUGCCGAACGGGUGAGUAACACGUAAGUAACCUGCCCUUGACUUUGGGAUAACUUCAGGAAACUGGGCCUACUCUCGGAUAGGAGCUCCCGCUGCAUGGUGGGGGUUGGAAAGUCUCGGCGGUCGGGGAUGGACUCACGGCUUAUCAGCUUGUUGGUGGGGGAGUGGCUUACCAAGGCUUUGACGGGUAGCCGGCCUGGGAGGGGGACCGGCGACAUGGGGACUGAGAGACGGCGCAGACUCCUACGGGGGGCAGCAGGGGCGAAUAUUGCACAAUGGGCGGAAGCCUGAUGCGGCAACGCCGCGGGUGGGAUGACGGCCUGCGGGUUGUAAACCGCUUUCGCCUGUGACGCAGCGUGAGUGACGGUAAUGGGUAAAUAAGCACCGGCUAACUACGUG
Molecule: ribosomal RNA, 468 nt
Filed under: uncultured bacterium
Lineage: Bacteria
Description: partial 16S ribosomal RNA
Rfam family: Bacterial small subunit ribosomal RNA
Source: RNAcentral